UUACAGUUGACAUUUCCAUCGGUGA
RNAcentral lists this non-coding RNA (25 nucleotides) under Mus musculus (house mouse). Lineage: Eukaryota; Metazoa; Chordata; Mammalia; Rodentia; Muridae. The record is from RNAcentral.